This is a long non-coding RNA of Aethalodelphis obliquidens (Pacific white-sided dolphin), 3255 nucleotides long. RefSeq lists it as uncharacterized. The record is from RefSeq and is a predicted model, not a curated record. The transcript has 3 exons. NCBI's taxonomy places the organism in Eukaryota, Metazoa, Chordata, Mammalia, Artiodactyla, Delphinidae.
UUUAAAAUAAAUAAUAAAUAGAAAAAAAAUAAAAUGGAAACCUUUUACUUAGGAAAAAAAAUCAAAUAGAUUGCUUAUCAAUAUUUGAUAUAUCAUUGUGCCUACAAUUUCUGCAUGCUUAUUUAAAUACAUAUUUCAUAGUCACUGGAAUAUAACUACAUGCUUCACUGACAUCAGUUCUUCCUGGAUCCCACAAGGAGGAAAUUUACCUGCUAAUGCAAUGCAUUUGGAGAGAGAGCAGAGAGCCGCAGCCCGGCUUAACAUGUGCAGUGCAUUCUUACUGCGUCUUCCUUCGGUAUCACAGAGCUUAUGGAUGUGGAAUCCUUCAAACUCAGCUCCUGGAGCUGUAGAAAUAGCACAUGGAUUGAGACCAGAUGCCGUGCUCUCCAGAAAGCUGGUUUGGUAACAGGUUUCAGCUGUGUGAACAUUCAAUUCCCUGAUCCAGGAGCAUGGACCUCAGAGUGAACAGGCUAAAAAGGGAUGCUGUGGACACUUUCUCCAUCAUUCACCUCUCCUUCUAAAGCUCUAGCACUGAGCAAUCGCAGUUCUAAAGAGCAGUCCUGUGUACCCCCAUUUAUGGUUUUUUAAUGUUCAAUUAAUAUUACGGAAACAAAUCCUUUCAGCAACUUCUAAAUAAAUUUUCUAAAAUCUGCUUGUCUCAGAAUUUACAAACAAAACAUACAGCUUUUUGAAGACGCUAAUGUUCACAGCCCUUUAUGCCACUUUAUCACACCUCAUGUUCUCAAAGCCCCGGAGCAAAAGGAAUUUUUUUUGUUUAUUUACAUUUCUGGGAAAGAAUUUCCACUUGCUUCUGUACCUGAUCAUUUUUUUGCCAAAAUCAAACCUAAAAUUUAUAGAUAAUACCUUUUUCUUUCAUUAAAAUCAUGAAAUAUAUUAAAAUCCUACCUGCUAAAAAAAAGGAGGGGGAAUUUCAUGUGGCUCAAGACAAAAGACAUUUUUCAUAAAAUUAAUUAAAUUAAAACAUGAAAUCAAAAUAAGAAUGAAGUUGAAUUCCAGCUGCCAGCCAGGGGCCUCCUCUUCCAAUAAGUCACCAGACAGACAAUAAUGUGAACCCUGAUGUCCACUGCAAUCACCAGUGCCAAGUGUGGUAGUAGGUACACAUACCUACCAUAAGAAGAAGGUGAUAUUUAGAACUCUUAAAAUUUUUCUUUUCUUUUUUUUUUUUUACUUACAGAAUUUUCCUCUCCGACAAGCUGCCUGCCUUAACGGCUUGCUUGUUGGGGAUAUUUAUGGUACUGGAGUGAGUCUUAUUUAUUUAUUUUUUUCUCUUAAUUUUGCCUCUAAUACCAGAUUCCUAUCUCUUUGAAUCCCAAUAAUGUAAAUUGUGGAUCUGAGUAGAUCUAGAGGAAUGACAGGAAUGAGAAACACUUCUGGGAUAUUCAGAAGUUGAAGCAGAUUUGGUUGAUGGAACAUUGCCUCCAGUCUUAGCAAGUAUGGAGGCUAAAACCUGGAAAAAUGGCUAAUGAAGGCAAGGUUUGCACCUUGUUUUCAGGAAACAAAAAAGCACCCGCUGUUUAUUUCUGCUUCCCCAAAUGCAGGUGUUUUGAAUCUAAAUACAAGGGGGCUGGCAUUUCUUCCAAACAAGCUGUGCACUGCAGCUCUUAGAGUCCUAAAUCCUCAACACAUUUACAGGUAAGUGUCUAGCCUGGACCACACAUCAAACACAGCCACUGCUGUCUUUGCUCCAGAGCCAUGAGCUUGCGGGAUUGUGGCUUCGCUUCUCGUGAGGCUCUGGCUGACAAAUGGCAACUAUUUAAUGGUGUGUUGAAGAGGUGGAAGCCAAUGGAAGAGGAGGUUAAAAACUAGAACUCAGCCCUUUCCUGGUAACCCAAAGAAUUUCCCCAGUUGCCAUUGAUGCUGGUUUUUCUUGUGUGUGUGUGUGUUCAUACGAAUACAUAUACGCCUCAGCAGAUUCCAUAUAUGUUCUUAUGCAUGUUAAUAACAGUGUUUUACUAUAGACGGAGUGAGAGAGGGGGCACCGAAUUUGAAGUGAUGUGCUUAUAAAGGAUGUCUGUGAUUUCCAAUCCAGCGAACCACUGGGGAGUGAAGGAACUAUGUGGAAUUGACAUUUCUCAAAAAUGAAGCCCGAGAAACUACAAAGGCACACAGUUUCAGCUCUCAGAGUUCCCCGGGGGAAAGAAGGUGGUUAAGAAGGUGGCAUCUGGAGUCAGAUGGCUUAGGUUCAAAUCCCAGCUCCAUUGUGUAAGUUCUCUGUGCCUCAGUGUCCCCAUCUGCAAAAUGGGAUUGUUUGGGUAGUCAGUGAGCUAAUACCGGUAGGGUGCUGAGAACACUGCCUGGCCUCAAGCUAGAAAACAAGAUAUGGCAACACUGAAGGACUGGCCAGGCUACACUAGUUUUCCUUCUACAUUGCUGUUCCAAGGAGGCUGUUUCUUCCAUUUUUAUAACAGAACUUUUAGAUUUGUUUUCUGAAAUGCAGCUAAGCUUUGUCCCCUUUAUUCUCUUCUCACGGCCAUUACCCGAGGAGCGAGGGUUUUCCUCAGGCGAAGCUGGUGCAGUAACUUCCCAGGUGGUCUCUGUCUCUGCACACCUGCCGUCCCAGAGCUUCCAGGCUGUCCCAGGUGCUGUUUGCUCAGUGCUGCUUUCACCUCACCACACGCGGUACCCCUGCCCCGCUGCACGCAGCCUAAGACCUCUGCCUGGUUUCCACACCUUCCAAUCCAAACUCCUCAUGCCACCCCCAGCCCCAAAGCAUCCCCACGUGCAGGGCAGGCCCAGGAAUACCUCCUCUUUUGCUAUGUCAGUGGCCUCACCGAGGACGGGGUCCUGUAGGACCUGCAUUUUCUGAAAGGAGAAAGGAAGUGUUUUCCAAACAGAGGGUGGUAGCUGUGAGAAAAGAAAUAAAGGGAACCAUGAAUCAGAUGGACUUUCUGAAGUCAAGAAAUGGCGCCAUUCCAAGACUCAAGGAAGAAUGGAAAGCAGCUCGAUACUAUUAAUUCCCUUUUGUCUUUACAUCAGUGAGCUCUCCUCCCUCACCCAGCACCUGGGACAUAAGAAACCAGUGCACAUCCAUGUAUUGAUGAUGCCACAGGAAGAAUCAAUGUGUUGCAACCCUAUGUUCUUUGAAAAAACUAUAAUGGUUAUGAGAGGAAAUAAUUUUGAGCAUAACUCUUAGUUUACGUGUCUUCUACUCUUUGUUCCCGUCGUGUUUUUGGUUUUUUUUUUUUUAAUCUCUGCAAUGGCUGAGUGUACAUCCUCUGUUCACACCUGCACCUU